Molecule: long non-coding RNA, 454 nt
Filed under: Anas platyrhynchos platyrhynchos (common mallard)
Lineage: Eukaryota; Metazoa; Chordata; Aves; Anseriformes; Anatidae
Description: lncRNA (ENSAPLG00000019129.1)
Source: RNAcentral
AGCAACUGCCUAUGAACUUCUCAUGGAGAUCAACUGGGACCUUGCAGCAGAAAUCUCAUUUAAAACAACUGGAAAUGACUUCACCUUGGCCCACAUCUCAGCGUAACAGCCAUGUCCUCCUCCUCCAGCCCUGCUCUUUGUGCCUGUAGCUGUGACUUCAGAAAAGUAGACAAGAGCCUUCUCACAGAAGAUCAUAACAGCUGAAAACUGGGUAUGUGAGUACCAUUCUCUUUCCUAAAAUCCAAGUAUCAUUAACAGCUUUAAACAACUUACCAAGGCAGCGGGGCACAGUGGAAGAUCCCUUCACUAUUUGUUUGGGUUUAGUCUAUCCUUUUACACUUUAGAUCUUACAUUAAUGUUUUGAAAAACAGAGAUGAUGCGGGACACAUCGCAUUUUUAAAUAGCCUUUGAUGAAGGGCUGGAGCAUUCCAAAGGUUAGAUGUGGAGGGUGCAG